AAAAAAAACGUCUGUUUGGUUUUGAUUAUCACGUCUAUCGCACUGAAAACCAUAUCAGUUUAAAAUUCUGAUAUAGGUUUUCCUGAGUGAACACAUCUGAAGCACAUGCACAGAAAGCGGCUGUCACAUGGCAUAAGAGCAGAAAGUCAUACAGGACUGAAACAACAUGAAGAAGAGUGCAAAUCAUACAGAUAAAGGAAUUAAUAUCCCAGGAAGCAGAAAAGGACAGGAACAGGACAAACAUCAGCUCACGCUGUGACUGACACCAGUUUAAACCAGCUGACCGCAGAUACAAACCCUCCUUCCCUGGCUGCUGCUACAUUCAACUGUUUAUCAGUAUGUUUUUCAAUCAGUUUGAGGCUUUUAAACAUUAUAACUAUUCAAAUAACUGUAUUCUAUAGCUGUGUGUAGUUCCUUAGUGUAUAGCUACC
Molecule: long non-coding RNA, 431 nt
Organism: Onychostoma macrolepis
Lineage: Eukaryota; Metazoa; Chordata; Actinopteri; Cypriniformes; Cyprinidae
Exons: 3
Source: RefSeq, a predicted model, not a curated record